This 390-nucleotide long non-coding RNA is filed under the name Gouania willdenowi (blunt-snouted clingfish). RNAcentral describes it as "lncRNA (ENSGWIG00000000160.1)". Lineage: Eukaryota; Metazoa; Chordata; Actinopteri; Blenniiformes; Gobiesocidae. The record is from RNAcentral.
GAUGGAGUUGUUUUGGGUUGCUGCGGUCUUUGGUCUCCUGUCCUCUGCACAGUCAGCUCCUGUUACCAGCUGUGAGACGCUCACCAAACAUGAUGACAUAAUAAGAGAUCAGCUGCUGGGAAAAUGGAUCCUUAUUGGAGAAACCACUGACAAAGAUGAAACGUUAUCAAUGAUAAGGUCGUUAGUGGACACUGUGUUUUGGAACAUCACAGAGACUGACACGACAGAUGGACUCCAAAUUUUCCACCAUCAGAAAACGUCUGGGGUUUGCGCAUCAUUACAAAUGGUGGCGACAGUGAAAAACAAAACUCUAACUAUGGACUAUCCCUAUCCUGCCACUUCCGUUAAACUGACCAGCAGCUGCCCUGACUGCCUGAUUUUGUACUCCAC